GGGACCGAGCGGCGGACGGGUUAGUAACGCGUGGGAACAUACCCCUUUCUACGGAAUAGCCUCGGGAAACUGAGAGUAAUACCGUAUAAGCCCUUCGGGGGAAAGAUUUAUCGGGAAGGGAUUGGCCCGCGUUAGAUUAGAUAGUUGGUGGGGUAAUGGCCUACCAAGUCUACGAUCUAUAGCUGGUUUUAGAGGAUGAUCAGCAACACUGGGACUGACACACGGCCCAGACUCCUACGGGAGGCAGCAGUGGGGAAUCUUAGACAAUGGGCGCAAGCCUGAUCUAGCCAUGCCGCGUGUGUGAUGAAGGUCUUAGGAUCGUAAAGCACUUUCGCCAGGGAUGAUAAUGACAGUACCUGGUAAAGAAACCCCGGCUAACUCCGUGCCAGCAGCCGCGGUAAUACGGAGGGGGUUAGCGUUGUUCGGAAUUACUGGGCGUAAAGCGUACGUAGGCGGAUCAGAAAGUUAGGGGUGAAAUCCCGAGGCUCAACCUCGGAACUGCCUCUAAAACUCCUGGUCUUGAGUUCGAGAGAGGUGAGUGGAAUUCCAAGUGUAGAGGUGAAAUUCGUAGAUAUUUGGAGGAACACCAGUGGCGAAGGCGGCUCACUGGCUCGAUACUGACGCUGAGGUACGAAAGUGUGGGGAGCAAACAGGAUUAGAUACCCUGGUAGUCCACACCGUAAACGAUGAAUGCCAGUCGUCGGGCAGUAUACUGUUCGGUGACACACCUAACGGAUUAAGCAUUCCGCCUGGGGAGUACGGUCGCAAGAUUAAAACUCAAAGGAAUUGACGGGGGCCCGCACAAGCG
Molecule: ribosomal RNA, 808 nt
Filed under: uncultured Alphaproteobacteria bacterium
Lineage: Bacteria; Pseudomonadati; Pseudomonadota; Alphaproteobacteria
Description: bacterial SSU rRNA
Rfam family: Bacterial small subunit ribosomal RNA
Source: RNAcentral